Molecule: non-coding RNA, 19 nt
Filed under: Arabidopsis thaliana (thale cress)
Lineage: Eukaryota; Viridiplantae; Streptophyta; Magnoliopsida; Brassicales; Brassicaceae
Source: RNAcentral
UUAGUAGGCCCAGGAUAGU